AUACCUUUCGAAGCCUUCUGGCUAAGAUCAAGUGCAGUAUCUAAUCUUAUCAGUUUAAUAUGGGAUCCAUCGGAGUCGGCAAGAGGAAAUUGUUUUUAGCGAUAUGUGAAUGUUGUUCUAGCUCAUUUUUUUAAGAACUUGGAAGCCAUGCCAUUCUAAUUAUCCUGCCAAUAUAUGAGUUUUCUUUUGGUUAGUUUUAAGAACC
Phoenix dactylifera (date palm) is the source of this 205-nucleotide small nuclear RNA. RefSeq annotates it as U2 spliceosomal RNA. NCBI's taxonomy places the organism in Eukaryota, Viridiplantae, Streptophyta, Magnoliopsida, Arecales, Arecaceae. The record is from RefSeq and is a predicted model, not a curated record.